GUGUGUGGAACGCAAGCGUUCUGUUCGAAUGGCGAGCUACGUAGGCUGGACGUAUUUCAGAAAUACGACCGAUUUUAUCUCAACUAUAGCUAAACAUGCUGAAGUAUUCGUGUAACCUAUAAGAUCAUAUUACGUUAAUAUAAUUUUAUUAAAAUAUCUCAAUUUAGAAUUAUUGAAAAUGGGAAUGAUAUCAUCUGGUGGCCGUUGCCAUCCAUGCAGGAAAUUAAACAAGAAUGCAUCAGUUGUCAGAGGGAACAUCAGAAGUCGCUUAAAAGCAACGCUUCGUUACGCCUUCACAAUAACCUGAUUCAGACUGUGUCAAGGGAACGUAUAAAGCCAAAGUCAGAGAGGUGCAUCCAUGUAGGCAAGAAUGUCACACCUGCUGUUAAUAGUGAAAUAAAUAGCGUCUUUACACUUAGAAUCUCGACACUUUGCCUCUAUAUAUGUGUAAGAUAGAAUGUCCAUUUUUAUUGAUAACAUACGUACGUAAUAGCGAAAAUGGUAAGAGUCGUGGUUGAUUUCUGUUUAAGGAAAAAUCUUCAAACAAAAGAAUUCGGAUUCUAUUGUAUAUUUCUUUCCUUUAUUUAUACGACACGAAGAGCAUAUGCGAAAGACGUCUACAAAUAUAUUUGUGUUAGUAUUUUUUAUUUUAAUUUUCCUUAAUAGGUUUUGAUAAGAUGGGAUUGACUAUUGAACUUGAACAUCUUUUAUCAUGUUGUUUCGUCUGAUCUUCAUGUAAUAUAACAAGGGUAUACACUUAACGUAAAUCCCUCAAUAUUAUGUAUUUUCUUCUACAAUAUGAGAUUUGAAGGUACAUUUCCUGUGUUUUGAAGAACUAUAGAUAUAAGUUAACUUUCACAUUUUUAUUUCGAAUGUUAUAUAAACUAAAUUAAUAAAGUUGAAUUUGGUAUAA
This is a long non-coding RNA of Bombus terrestris (buff-tailed bumblebee), 913 nucleotides long. RefSeq lists it as uncharacterized. Lineage: Eukaryota; Metazoa; Arthropoda; Insecta; Hymenoptera; Apidae. The transcript is spliced from 2 exons. The record is from RefSeq and is a predicted model, not a curated record.